This 1674-nucleotide long non-coding RNA is filed under the name Triticum aestivum (bread wheat). Its description in RNAcentral is "long non-coding RNA (TAES_LNC021278)". The record is from RNAcentral. Lineage: Eukaryota; Viridiplantae; Streptophyta; Magnoliopsida; Poales; Poaceae.
AAUUUCUGAAUUAGGUAAACCGCCUGUUGGUUCCGGGCACUAGUACUAAAAUCACUUGCAUAGAGAGUGUCUGUCUUUGAUUAUCCCAUUCGACUUAAAGUGCAUGCGAAUAAAUAAAAACUGCCUUCAAUUGAUCCAUUAGAUCAAUGUGCAUGUGAAUACAAGUGUGACAUGUCCUUCUAGCAAAAUGUCCAUAAACUGUCAACAUUUACUCUCAACUGUGACAUGACUGAAUAUGAUGAACAAGUUGGGAUGUAGCUAGAUAUGUAAGAAAUGUUAUCUAUUUCUGUUUAUCUCCAUCUAUAGAAGUUGUGAUUGGCAUCGACUUUCUUCUUUGCCCUUUUCUGCAUGCUCAACACUUUACUUUUCUAUUACAACUUCUGUAAAUAGUCAAGAAAAUAAGCUUGCUUUGUUUUCCUUUGUCGAACCAACUGACUUGAUUUGUUUGCCAGCUAAAAGCUGCUGCUGAAGCUGUUGGGGAGGUCAAUCUUGAGAGUUUGCCAGCUAAAAGCUGUUGAAGUUUCUUGUUUCCCUUGCAUUUGUUAACUUACACAGGGCAUGAUUGCUCUAUUGUCUAUUGUCUAGAAAAACUGAUCGCCUACCUGGCUGGCAUCUGCAUCAUGCUUGCCAGAUUAUUUGUGUGGUCAAAUGAAACGGUGAGUGGUAUUAAAAUGCUCAUGUAGACAGUGUUUAAGCAUUAGAAUGGUGUAGAUAGAGUUUCCCGGCAACUACAGUGUCUGUGAUAUUCGAGAUCCAGCGUAAAUAAGUGUUCAUCAGAAAAGAAUGUGAUUAUUUUUAUUGUUCUGGAUCUAUGACUUCGGUUGCAUAUCUUGUCAAACUCUUUUAGAGUUAUCUUCAUGAGUGUCCACGUCCCAAUAUUAUGACUAUCUCUAAUGAGUAUAAAUAUAAAUUAAUAUAGCUGUCAAUUUUAAGACAGAGCAAAGUGUCAAUGCAUUUCACACCUAUUGAUUUAUCAGGCUCGGUCAGUCGGUCUGAUCCUGUAGUAUUUAAAACUAAUAAUUAUGAUGCAUUGGUCCAUAUGGCCUUGUUUUUUGAUGCAUAUAUAUAUAUAUAUGAUGUAGUUGAUAGGCCUUGAUCUCAACCUCUCAAGUUUAUGUUUCCUUGUGUGUAGGUAACUUGUUAUUUUUAUUGGCAAGCCUGUAAUGAAUUUAUUAGAUUUUUGCUCCUAUUGCCGUGUACAGUAUGUCACAGGCUUGCGGAGCCUAUCAUUGUUCUUAGUGUGAUGUUGUGAUUCUUGAACGGUGUCAAUGGUCGUGUACAGGUGUCUUUUGUAGUAUAAAAAGGGCCACUAUCAGCCGUAGGAUUUGGAUUCAUGCUAUGAAGAUCAUGAAUAUAUAUCUCAUUUUGCUGCUCUAUGCCUCAUUCUAAUUCUUCUCUGAUUCAUGUAACAGGAUGAUAGUGAAAGCCAUGUUGUUGUUUUGUUUGUUCCCAGCCUUGACUAUGGUCGUCGAGCGAGUCCGGCAUGUUGUUCAUUUAGUAGAGCUUGUUAGGAGUCUGAAUCUAAGAACUUGUAGAGCUUGUUAGUAUUACAAUUGUAGAGCUUGUUACACUUGUAGAGCUUGUAAAGCAGUAUGGUCUUCUGUAUUGGAAUGGAUAGAGCUUGUAUUAUGUGAUCUGGUUGCUCUUAUUUAAGUAUCAUGUGUGUUUUUGUCU